Molecule: ribosomal RNA, 497 nt
Filed under: uncultured bacterium
Lineage: Bacteria
Description: partial 16S ribosomal RNA
Rfam family: Bacterial small subunit ribosomal RNA
Source: RNAcentral
GAUGAACGCUGGCGGCGUGCCUAAUACAUGCAAGUCGAGCGAACAGACGAGGAGCUUGCUCCUCUGACGUUAGCGGCGGACGGGUGAGUAACACGUGGAUAACCUACCUAUAAGACUGGGAUAACUUCGGGAAACCGGAGCUAAUACCGGAUAAUAUAUUGAACCGCAUGGUUCAAUAGUGAAAGACGGUUUUGCUGUCACUUAUAGAUGGAUCCGCGCCGCAUUAGCUAGUUGGUAAGGUAACGGCUUACCAAGGCGACGAUGCGUAGCCGACCUGAGAGGGUGAUCGGCCACACUGGAACUGAGACACGGUCCAGACUCCUACGGGAGGCAGCAGUAGGGAAUCUUCCGCAAUGGGCGAAAGCCUGACGGAGCAACGCCGCGUGAGUGAUGUAGGUCUUCGGAUCGUAAAACUCUGUUAUUAGGGAAGAACAAAUGUGUAAGAAACUAUGCACGUCUUGACGGUACCUAAUCAGAAAGCCACGGCUAACUACGUG